GAGCCCGUAGCUCAGUUGGUAGAGCACUUGACUUUUAAUCAGGUUGUCCCGGGUUCGAGUCCCGGCGGGCUCACCA
Molecule: transfer RNA, 76 nt
Filed under: Acinetobacter sp.
Lineage: Bacteria; Pseudomonadati; Pseudomonadota; Gammaproteobacteria; Moraxellales; Moraxellaceae
Description: tRNA-Lys
Rfam family: tRNA
About the family: Transfer RNA (tRNA) molecules are approximately 80 nucleotides in length. Their secondary structure includes four short double-helical elements and three loops (D, anti-codon, and T loops). Further hydrogen bonds mediate the characteristic L-shaped molecular structure. tRNAs have two regions of fundamental functional importance: the anti-codon, which is responsible for specific mRNA codon recognition, and the 3' end, to which the tRNAs corresponding amino acid is attached (by aminoacyl-tRNA synthetases). tRNAs cope with the degeneracy of the genetic code in two manners: having more than one tRNA (with a specific anti-codon) for a particular amino acid; and 'wobble' base-pairing, i.e. permitting non-standard base-pairing at the 3rd anti-codon position.
Source: RNAcentral